UACGGAGGGUGCAAGCGUUAUCCGGAUUCACUGGGUUUAAAGGGCGCGCAGGCGGACUGGUAAGUCAGUGGUGAAAGCCCUGGGCUCAACCCGGGAACUGCCAUUGAUACUAUCAGUCUUGAAUAUCGUUGAGGUUUGCGGAAUGGGUCAUGUAGCGGUGAAAUGCAUAGAUAUGACCCGGAACACCUAUUGCGAAGGCAGCAGGCUAAGCGAAGAUUGACGCUGAGGCUCGAAAGCGUGGGGAUCAAACAGG
Molecule: ribosomal RNA, 253 nt
Filed under: uncultured bacterium
Lineage: Bacteria
Description: partial 16S ribosomal RNA
Rfam family: Bacterial small subunit ribosomal RNA
Source: RNAcentral